CUAACUAGGAUUCCCCUAGUAGCUGCGAGCGAACAGGGAAAAGCCCAGCACCGAAUCCCGCGAUCGUAACCGGUCGCUGGGNAAUGUGGUGUUAGGAAGGAUCCGUUAUCUCGAGGGUAUGCGACGCGNCCANGUCCUUCUUGAACGGGGCCACCGCCCAUAGAGGGUGCCNGGCCCGUAGCGACCGUCGUCACCUUCGAGAGGGUCUCUUCUGAGAGUCGGGUUGCUUGAGAGUGCANCCCUAAGUGGGUGGUAAACUCCAUCUANGGCUAAAUAUGACCACGAGACCGAUNGCGAACNAGUACCGUGAGGGAAAGUUGAAAAGAACUUUGAAGAGAGAGUUCAAGAGUACGUGAAACCGUUCAGGGGUAAACCUGAGAAACCCGAAAGGUCGAACGACGAGAUUCAUUCGCGUGCCGAUCGAUCGAACGUCGCUUGUGCGGAGGCGGAGUCUUUUCUUCGGAGGAGACAUACGCGCCCCUUGCGAUCGUUUCGGUCGGCGGACGCGUGCAUUUCUCGUCUAGUAGGACGUCGCGAUGCGUUGAGUGCCGGUCUACGGGGCCGAUGUGUAGCCCGGAUGCGGAACCUCGCGUUCACGUAUACGGACACGCGGAUCUUCCCGACCGGCUCGCUCGACGUUCAGAUUCGAAGGCGAGAGGCCGCGACUUCAGUGCGCGUCCGAGCCGCGGCAAGCUCGUUCAAUUGGUUGUCGUUCGGACUUUGUGCCGACGUUCGACCGUUGACGGCUGUUCGCCGCGUGUCUCUCGGACAGACCUCUACGAAACGCCGAUCGGCGACNCUAUAGCUUUGGGUACUUUCAGGACCCGUCUUGAAACACGGACCAAGGAGUCUAGCGUGUGCGCGAGUCAUUGGGAUUUCACGAAACCUAAAGGCGAAAUGAAAGUAAAGGUACGCCUUGCGCGGACCGAGGGAGGACGAAAGGCCAUUUCGAAGGUCGUUCAGCACUCCCGGGGCGUCUCGUUCUCAUUGCGAGAUGAGGCGCACCAAGAGCGUACACGCUGGGACCCGAAAGAUGGUGAACUAUGCCCGGUCAGGACGAAGUCAGGGGAAACCCUGAUGGAGGUCCGUAGCGAUUCUGACGUGCAAAUCGAUCGUCGGAACUGGGUAUAGGGGCGAAAGACUAAUCGAACCAUCUAGUAGCUGGUUCCCUCCGAAGUUUCCCUCAGGAUAGCUGGCGCUCGUUGCGUACGAGUCUCAUCAGGUAAAGCGAAUGAUUAGAGGCAUUGGGGUCGAAACGACCUCAACCUAUUCUCAAACUUUAAAUGGGUGAGAUCUCCGGCUUGCUUGAUAAAUUUUAUCGUGAAGCCGCGAGUGUAACGGAUCAGAGUGCCAAGUGGGCCAUUUUUGGUAAGCAGAACUGGCGCUGUGGGAUGAACCAAACGCCGAGUUAAAGCGCCUAAAUCGACGCUUAUGGGAUACCAUGAAAGGCGUUGGUAACUUAAGACAGCAGGACGGUGGCCAUGGAAGUCGGAAUCCGCCAAGGAGUGUGUAACAACUCACCUGCCGAAGUUACUAGCCCUGAAAAUGGAUGGCGCUGAAGCGUCGUGCUUAUACUCGGCCGUCAGCGGCAUGUGCGGUCGUCGUUCAUUCGACGGCCAUGAAGUCCUGACGAGUAGGAGGGUCGCGGAGGUGAGCGCAGAAGGGCUGGCCGUGGGGCCGUCUGGAGCCGCCUCCGGUGCAGAUCUUGGUGGUAGUAGCAAAUACUCCAGCGAGGACCUGGAGAGCUGAGGUGGAGAAGGGUUUCGUGUGAACAGCCGUUGCACACGAGUCAGUCGAUCCUAAGCCCUAGGCGAAAGCCGAUGUUGAUGUGGCGUCUUUCAUACACGGGUGUGGAGUGCUUUCGUGGCACGAGUGUACGAUAGAAACGCACGUCGGGCGAAAGGGAAUCCGGUUCCUAUUCCGGAACCCGGCAGCGGAACCGUCUUAAAAUCGGGCCCUCGCAAGAGAGUUCGUCGGGGUAACCCAAAAUGACUCGGAGACGCCGUCGAGAGAUCCGGGAAGAGUUUUCUUUUCUGCAUGAGCGUUCGAGUUCCAUGGAAUCCUCUAGCAGGGAGAUAUGGUUUGGAACGCGAAGAGCACCGCAGUUGCGGCGGUGUCCGGAUCUUCUCCUCGGACCUUGAAAAUCCGAGAGAGGGCCACGUGUAAGCGUCGCGCCGGUUCGUACCCAUAUCCGCAGCUG
Molecule: ribosomal RNA, 2200 nt
Filed under: Anovia sp. AGNM01
Lineage: Eukaryota; Metazoa; Arthropoda; Insecta; Coleoptera; Coccinellidae
Description: eukaryotic LSU rRNA
Rfam family: Eukaryotic large subunit ribosomal RNA
Source: RNAcentral